Molecule: transfer RNA, 62 nt
Filed under: Cacopsylla burckhardti
Lineage: Eukaryota; Metazoa; Arthropoda; Insecta; Hemiptera; Psyllidae
Description: tRNA-Gly
Source: RNAcentral
AUUCUAUUAGUAUAACAAAUAAUUACAUUUAGUUUCCACCUAAAAAAUCUUAUGAUAGAAUA